Molecule: unclassified non-coding RNA, 864 nt
Filed under: Hevea brasiliensis (rubber tree)
Lineage: Eukaryota; Viridiplantae; Streptophyta; Magnoliopsida; Malpighiales; Euphorbiaceae
Source: RNAcentral
UUAUUCAUUCCCCUCCCCUGUCCUCUUUACUUCAUUUUCACUGUUAUUUUCGGCCAAAAACUCAAAAAUCUUCAGUUGCCGGAGCUAGAAACAGAGGAGAAAAGCUUUUUCAUUUUCUUCACUGAAUUUAUUUGUAUCCAAAAGGGCAAUGUCAGCUUGCAAAGGUCAAGAUCCACGUAUCCAUGCUAUACAGUCUACAAUUCGUGUUGUCCCUAAUUUCCCCAAACCAGGGAUAAUGUUUCAAGAUAUAACUACUCUGUUACUGGAUCCAAAAGCCUUCAAAGAUACAAUUGAUUUAUUUGUGGAACGGUACAGAGACAAAAGCAUCUCAGUUGUUGCUGGAAUAGAGGCUCGAGGAUUCAUAUUUGGUCCACCAAUUGCUUUGGCGAUAGGGGCAAAAUUUGUCCCUUUGAGAAAACCAAACAAAUUGCCAGGUAAAGUUUUCAAACAAGAGUAUGACUUGGAAUAUGGAAGUGAUUGUCUUGAGAUGCAUAUUGAAGCAGUAGAAGCUGGUGAGCGAGCUUUGGUGGUUGAUGAUCUAAUUGCUACUGGUGGCACUGUUUCUGCAGCUAUGAAUUUACUUGAGCGUGCUGGCGCAGAAGUGGUUGAAUGUGCAUGUGUGAUUGAAAUACCAGAACUAAAGGGUAAGGAGAAGUUGAAUGGCAAGCCAUUGUAUGUGCUGGUGGAGUAUCGGUAGUAUCUGCAGACCAAUUAUGUUUAUUGUUAUAACAAACUGUACAUUAGAGGGCGCUAUUAUUGGCCAACUUGUCUGGGUUAUUUAUCUUUUCAUUCUUCAUUAUGUGUAGUGAAUUUUGAAAAAAAGGCCUCUUUGGUUUAUGUGGAGAACUCAUUCACGAGCUAAGG